RNAcentral lists this transfer RNA (81 nucleotides) under Streptomyces sp. NRRL B-3648. RNAcentral's name for it is "tRNA-Gly". It matches the Rfam family "tRNA". Rfam says of the family: Transfer RNA (tRNA) molecules are approximately 80 nucleotides in length. Their secondary structure includes four short double-helical elements and three loops (D, anti-codon, and T loops). The record is from RNAcentral. Lineage: Bacteria; Bacillati; Actinomycetota; Actinomycetes; Kitasatosporales; Streptomycetaceae.
GCGGACGUAGCUCAGUUGGUAGAUUGGUAGAGCGCAACCUUGCCAAGGUUGAGGUCGCGAGUUCGAGCCUCGUCGUCCGCU